This 476-nucleotide ribosomal RNA is filed under the name uncultured bacterium. RNAcentral describes it as "bacterial SSU rRNA". It matches the Rfam family "Bacterial small subunit ribosomal RNA", at positions 15 to 518 of the family's 1533-position model. The record is from RNAcentral.
GAUCCUGGCUUAGGAUGAACGCUGGCGGCGUGCCUAACACAUGCAAGUCGAGCGAUUCUCUUCGGAGAAGAGCGGCGGACGGGUGAGUAACGCGUGGGUAACCUGCCUCAUACACAUGGAUAACAUACCGAAAGGUAUGCUAAUACAGGAUAAUAUAAGAGAUUCACAUGGAUUUCUUAUCAAAGCUCCGGCGGUAUGAGAUGGACCCGCGUCUGAUUAGCUAGUUGGUAAGGUAACGGCUUACCAAGGCGACGAUCAGUAGCCGACCUGAGAGGGUGAUCGGCCACAUUGGAACUGAGACACGGUCCAAACUCCUACGGGAGGCAGCAGUGGGGAAUAUUGCACAAUGGGCGAAAGCCUGAUGCAGCAACGCCGCGUGAGUGAUGAAGGCCUUCGGGUCGUAAAACUCUGUCCUCAAGGAAGAUAAUGACGGUACUUGAGGAGGAAGCCCCGGCUAACUACGUGCCAGCCGCCGC